Long non-coding RNA from Ictalurus punctatus (channel catfish), 1918 nucleotides. RefSeq lists it as uncharacterized. The transcript has 4 exons. The record is from RefSeq and is a predicted model, not a curated record. NCBI's taxonomy places the organism in Eukaryota, Metazoa, Chordata, Actinopteri, Siluriformes, Ictaluridae.
CCGCCUGGAAAAAGAGAAGAAAAAAACGUUUUGGCGGUUAAAUCAGUUGGGAUCCUCGAGGCUGCAGUCGUUCUUCGUUUUCAAGAGGAAUCAUUUCACGUGAAGAAGACAGCUAUAAAGAAUGCAGGAGGAAAGCCAAAGAGGGCAGGACCUGGUCAGACCUCCAGUCAGACUCGGAACUUCUUUAUCAUAGCCAUGCUGAGGGAGGUGCUGACUAAAUUAGAGAUGGUGCUGGACCAACAAACCACUGAGAUUACUUCAACUACAGGAGGUCCAGGUGCAGCCUUUGGAUAUUGAGAAAGGUUUACUGCCCCUGCAAGACCUUCCUCAAUGGCGUAGUCUGGAGCAAAGAAUGCAACAGAGUCCAGAUUACAAGCAAAAACUGUUGAGAUUUUUUUCUUUUUUGUUAACAAUUGCUUGCACAAUUACACAGCUACUAAAAGUGUUUCUUUUUUCUCAAAAGGACACACUCGUACUCAAAGCACAAUAUUCAACACCACUUUGAUAUGAAGGAACAGUUAUGACCUAAUCUUUGGUAGAGUAACUGCUGGAGUAGUGAGAAGCACUGAUACAGGUAAACUGGUUGCGCUUAUUGACGGGGAGGAUGUGCACGACUGCACCUUGCGCAUAUUGAAGAGGGUGAUUGCCAACUCCCUGGCAAAGAACCGCAAUUGGAGGGGAGUCAAUUUCAAGACUUCACUGGCAACUCUCCAACUCGGAGAGGUCGUGAUUGCUGCAGUUCAAAGAAACUUCUUCACAGCUAAUGCUGCUGAGAUGGAGGUCGAGGGGACCAUGAAGAGGUGGCUCUAGCUGGCAUCAGAUCGAGAGUGUGGGCGCAAGAGAAGACUUUUGCAAAAGGAAGGUAUUUAGAGUGUUCUGUGCUUCUUCUUUUUUUGCGCUAUUUGUUAAUUUGUUAAAAUGUUCAUAUUAUAAUCUAUUUUUAAUUGUUUAUAAAAGUCCUUGUUGUUUUUAUGUGGUUGAAUUUGUGUGUGUGUGUGUGUGUGUGUGUGUGUGUGUGUGUGUGUUGGUAGCUGAGUGGGUAUACAGUUGUGGUCAGAAGUUUACAUACCCCUUGCAGAAUCUGCAAAAUCUUAAUACUCUUAACAAAAUAAGAUUGAUCAUAAAAAUCCCAUGUUGUUUUUUAUUUAGUACUGUCCUGAAUAAACUAUUUCACAUAACAGGUGUUUACAUAUAGUACACAAGACAAUAGAUGAAUUUAUAAAAACCACCCCGUUCAAAAGUUUACAUACCCUUGAUUCCUAAUACUGUGCAUCGUUUCCGGGAUGAUCCACGACUGCUUUUAUGUUUUGUGAUAGUUGUUCACGAGUCUUUUGUUUGUUCUGAGCAGUUAAACUGUCCACUGUUCAGGUCCUGCACAUUCUUUGCUUUUCUAGCAUCUUCUAGCAUAUUUGACCCCUUUCCAACAGCAGCUAUAUGAUGUUGAGAUCCGUCUGAGGACACUGAGGGACGCGUACAUGACUAUUACAUCAGGUGCAAACAUUCACUGAUGCUCGAGAAUGCAACACAAUACAUUAAGAGCCAGGGGGUUUAAAAUUUUGAACAGGAUGAUCGGUGUAAAUUGUUAUUUUCUCUUCUGGGAGACAUGUAAGUAUCUUAUUUAGCUUCUGAAGGGCAGUACUACAUGGAAAAAAAUAAGAUCUUUAAACAAAAUAACAAUUUACACCGAUCAUCCUGUUAAAAAAUGUGCACCCCCUGGCUCUUAAUGUAUUGUGUUGCAUUUAUUUGUAAUGUAAGUGGAGGAAUUUAUUUGUGUGCAUGUGUUCGUAGCUGUAUGUGUGUGAGAGAGAAUUGUUUUUGUCUUUAAAUAUACUGUAAAUAUAUUUAGUUGUUAUUUUGUAGGUUUUAAAAGUGUGUUGUUAAUACAUGUUCAUAUUGCAGUGUAUUUGUUAAUGUUUAA